This 121-nucleotide unclassified non-coding RNA is filed under the name uncultured Ascomycota. RNAcentral's name for it is "sequence contains ITS1". Lineage: Eukaryota; Fungi; Ascomycota. The record is from RNAcentral.
GCGAGUUCAGCUCUCUAAGACCAUUGUGAAAGCACCUACAGUGUUGCUUCGGCGGGGCCACACCCGCCGGCAGUACCAAACUCUGCAAUUAUUGUAUCUCUGAGUAAACUUUAAUAAGUCA